Molecule: transfer RNA, 407 nt
Filed under: uncultured cyanobacterium
Lineage: Bacteria; Bacillati; Cyanobacteriota
Description: partial 16S-23S ribosomal RNA intergenic spacer
Rfam family: tRNA (bases 121-194)
Source: RNAcentral
GGGAGACCAACUAGGGUAGUGAGAUAUUGGUGCAAGCCAAUUAUGACUGCCAGAGCAAUCCCAAGGUCGUGCGAGGCGAGUAAUUUUGAGCUUUCAAACUAUUAAAGGGUUCGGGAAAACGGGCUAUUAGCUCAGGUGGUUAGAGCGCACCCCUGAUAAGGGUGAGGUCCCCGGUUCGAGUCCAGGAUGGCCCACCUCACAGAAGUAUAGUGCCGAGCAACAAGCAUCAGCAAAAAUCUAGCACCUGAAAUUGCCCCAAAACAGCAAAACAGUCUGCUGGAUUUAAUAUCCAGUCAGAACCUUGAAAACUGCAUAGCAAACGGAAAUCUGAAAGAGUCAAAGACGCCGACUUUGGCGUCACAGCUCAAAAUCAGAAAAAAUCAAACAAAAGUGGUCAAGCUACAAAG